GAAAUCCUUGGGCUGGCUGACAUCGGAGUGUGACUGGAGAGACGCAGGAACCAUAGUGGCACCUGCAUCAGCUAAGGACAAGGGAAACAGUCGAUGUAGUCCCGGGGGCAGCUGGAGUCCAGAGUCAGGUGGUGGAACUGCACCUUCUCCCGGAUGUGGUCCUUCAGCUUCUGGCAGUCAGCCAGGACUUUCUGCUCCAGGAAAGCCGCAUCGCUGUAGCUGUAGCGGCUGCCGAAGACCACGGAGCAGAUCACAUUGGCAACUGCGUAUCUGAACAUGAUCAUUGGCUCAAAGGCAUUGCCUGCAGCCACAAGAGGGCCAGCAAGGAUAGGACCACGUCACCUCUGAGCUUUGCCAGCAGCUCUACCAGGUGCUGAGCUUCCUGCUGCACCUUCUG
Cyanistes caeruleus (blue tit) is the source of this 397-nucleotide non-coding RNA. The record is from RefSeq and is a predicted model, not a curated record. Lineage: Eukaryota; Metazoa; Chordata; Aves; Passeriformes; Paridae.